GCGCAAUCUCAGCUCAGUGCAACCUCUGCCUCCCAAGUUUAAGCAAUUCUCCUGCCUCAGCCUCCCUAGUAGCUGGGAUUUCAGGCACCACCACACCCAGCUAAUUAAGUCUGAGAAUUUUAAGUUCCAACUUGGCCUUCCACAGUGUUGUCAAAAUAGGAGGAAAGUGCACUUUGACCUCUUGAUUCAUAGAUUUAAAAUAUUCUGGCAUAAAGGGCCUUGUCCCAGAUCUCAAGUGUUAGGGAAGCACUUGGUCAUUUUCUUCCCUUUCUGGCAUAUUAGAGAAAAUGAUGUGUACAUAAAAUUUCCUCAUAAUUUUCAGCUUCACAAUUUAUACUACGGUAAUGAGCGCCGGUAGCCCAGACAAGUACAUGACUAGGAUCAGAAACCCGAGUAGAAAUGAGCAAGAAGAACCCAUCAGGUGAUUGUCAGGCCUCUGAGCCCAAGCUAAGCCAUCAUAUGCCCUGUGACCUGCACGUAUACAUCCAGAUGGCCUGAAG
This 500-nucleotide long non-coding RNA is filed under the name Homo sapiens (human). RNAcentral's name for it is "HSALNT0073879". Lineage: Eukaryota; Metazoa; Chordata; Mammalia; Primates; Hominidae. The record is from RNAcentral.